UGAGUUUGAUCCUGGCUCAGGAUGAACGUUGGCGGCGUGCCUAAUACAUGCAAGUCGAACGAUAAGGCGCCCUUCGGGGUGCUGGAGAGUGGCGCACGGGUGAGUAACACGUAACUGAUCUGCCCUUUAGACUGGGAUAACCUUUGGAAACAGAGGCUAAUACCGGAUGAAUUCGCGGUAGUUAGAGAGCCGUGAGAAAAGGUUUAGGCGCUAAGGGAUGAGGUUGCGGACCAUCAGCUAGUUGGUGAGGUAAAGGCUUACCAAGGCGAUGACGGUUAGGGGACCUGAGAGGGUGGCCCCCCACACUGGGACUGAGACACGGCC
This 324-nucleotide ribosomal RNA is filed under the name uncultured bacterium. RNAcentral describes it as "bacterial SSU rRNA". It matches the Rfam family "Bacterial small subunit ribosomal RNA", at positions 1 to 331 of the family's 1533-position model. The record is from RNAcentral.